RNAcentral lists this ribosomal RNA (1361 nucleotides) under Salmonella enterica subsp. enterica serovar Bredeney. RNAcentral describes it as "partial 23S ribosomal RNA". It matches the Rfam family "Bacterial large subunit ribosomal RNA", at positions 826 to 2167 of the family's 2925-position model. The record is from RNAcentral. Lineage: Bacteria; Pseudomonadati; Pseudomonadota; Gammaproteobacteria; Enterobacterales; Enterobacteriaceae.
AGGCCAAUCAAACCGGGAGAUAGCUGGUUCUCCCCGAAAGCUAUUUAGGUAGCGCCUCGUGAAUUCAUCUCCGGGGGUAGAGCACUGUUUCGGCUAGGGGGCCAUCCCGGCUUACCAACCCGAUGCAAACUGCGAAUACCGGAGAAUGUUAUCACGGGAGACACACGGCGGGUGCUAACGUCCGUCGUGAAGAGGGAAACAACCCAGACCGCCAGCUAAGGUCCCAAAGUCAUGGUUAAGUGGGAAACGAUGUGGGAAGGCCCAGACAGCCAGGAUGUUGGCUUAGAAGCAGCCAUCAUUUAAAGAAAGCGUAAUAGCUCACUGGUCGAGUCGGCCUGCGCGGAAGAUGUAACGGGGCUAAACCAUGCACCGAAGCUGCGGCAGCGACACUCAGGUGUUGUUGGGUAGGGGAGCGUUCUGUAAGCCUGCGAAGGUGGCCUGUGAGGGUUGCUGGAGGUAUCAGAAGUGCGAAUGCUGACAUAAGUAACGAUAAAGCGGGUGAAAAGCCCGCUCGCCGGAAGACCAAGGGUUCCUGUCCAACGUUAAUCGGGGCAGGGUGAGUCGACCCCUAAGGCGAGGCCGAAAGGCGUAGUCGAUGGGAAACGGGUUAAUAUUCCCGUACUUGGUGUUACUGCGAAGGGGGGACGGAGAAGGCUAUGUUGGCCGGGCGACGGUUGUCCCGGUUUAAGCGUGUAGGUGUGUGUUCCAGGUAAAUCCGGUUCACUUUAACACUGAGGCGUGACGACGAGGCACUACGGUGCUGAAGCAACAAAUGCCCUGCUUCCAGGAAAAGCCUCUAAGCAUCAGGUAACAUCAAAUCGUACCCCAAACCGACACAGGUGGUCAGGUAGAGAAUACCAAGGCGCUUGAGAGAACUCGGGUGAAGGAACUAGGCAAAAUGGUGCCGUAACUUCGGGAGAAGGCACGCUGACACGUAGGUGAAGUGAUUUACUCAUGGAGCUGAAGUCAGUCGAAGAUACCAGCUGGCUGCAACUGUUUAUUAAAAACACAGCACUGUGCAAACACGAAAGUGGACGUAUACGGUGUGACGCCUGCCCGGUGCCGGAAGGUUAAUUGAUGGGGUCAGCGCAAGCGAAGCUCCUGAUCGAAGCCCCGGUAAACGGCGGCCGUAACUAUAACGGUCCUAAGGUAGCGAAAUUCCUUGUCGGGUAAGUUCCGACCUGCACGAAUGGCGUAAUGAUGGCCAGGCUGUCUCCACCCGAGACUCAGUGAAAUUGAACUCGCUGUGAAGAUGCAGUGUACCCGCGGCAAGACGGAAAGACCCCGUGAACCUUUACUAUAGCUUGACACUGAACAUUGAGCCUUGAUGUGUAGGAUAGGUGGGAGGCUUUGAAGUGUGG